UUUUACAAUGGAGAGUUUGAUCCUGGCUCAGGAUGAACGCUAGCUACAGGCUUAACACAUGCAAGUCGAGGGGAAACGAUAUUGGAAGCUUGCUUCCGAUAGGCGUCGACCGGCGCACGGGUGAGUAACGCGUAUCCAACCUGCCCACCACUUGGGGAUAACCUUGCGAAAGUAAGACUAAUACCCAAUGAUAUCUCUAGAAGACAUCUGAAAGAGAUUAAGGAUUUAUCGGUGAUGGAUGGGGAUGCGUCUGAUUAGCUUGUUGGCGGGGUAACGGCCCACCAAGGCGACGAUCAGUAGGGGUUCUGAGAGGAAGGUCCCCCACAUUGGAACUGAGACACGGUCCAAACUCCUACGGGAGGCAGCAGUGAGGAAUAUUGGUCAAUGGACGAGAGUCUGAACCAGCCAAGUAGCGUGCAGGAAGACGGCCCUAUGGGUUGUAAACUGCUUUUAUAAGGGAAUAAAGUGAGAGUCGUGACUCUUUUUGCAUGUACCUUAUGAAUAAGGACCGGCUAAUUCCGUGCCAGCAGCCGCGGUAAUACGGAAGGUCCGGGCGUUAUCCGGAUUUAUUGGGUUUAAAGGGAGCGUAGGCCGGAGAUUAAGCGUGUUGUGAAAUGUAGAUGCUUAACAUCUGCACUGCAGCGCGAACUGGUUUCCUUGAGUACGCACAAAGUGGGCGGAAUUCGUGGUGUAGCGGUGAAAUGCUUAGAUAUCACGAAGAACUCCGAUUGCGAAGGCAGCUCACUGGAGCGCAACUGACGCUGAAGCUCGAAAGUGCGGGUAUCGAACAGGAUUAGAUACCCUGGUAGUCCGCACGGUAAACGAUGGAUGCCCGCUGUUGGUCUGAAUAGGUCAGCGGCCAAGCGAAAGCAUUAAGCAUCCCACCUGGGGAGUACGCCGGCAACGGUGAAACUCAAAGGAAUUGACGGGGGCCCGCACAAGCGGAGGAACAUGUGGUUUAAUUCGAUGAUACGCGAGGAACCUUACCCGGGCUUGAAUUGCAGAGGAAGGAUUUGGAGACAAUGACGCCCUUCGGGGCCUCUGUGAAGGUGCUGCAUGGUUGUCGUCAGCUCGUGCCGUGAGGUGUCGGCUUAAGUGCCAUAACGAGCGCAACCCCUCUCCUUAGUUGCCAUCAGGU
RNAcentral lists this ribosomal RNA (1138 nucleotides) under Segatella copri. Its description in RNAcentral is "bacterial SSU rRNA". It matches the Rfam family "Bacterial small subunit ribosomal RNA", at positions 1 to 1126 of the family's 1533-position model. Lineage: Bacteria; Pseudomonadati; Bacteroidota; Bacteroidia; Bacteroidales; Prevotellaceae. The record is from RNAcentral.